Molecule: long non-coding RNA, 1510 nt
Filed under: Agrilus planipennis (emerald ash borer)
Lineage: Eukaryota; Metazoa; Arthropoda; Insecta; Coleoptera; Buprestidae
Description: uncharacterized LOC108735443, transcript variant X2
Source: RNAcentral
UAAAGUUUUGCUGUUUUAUCAUCAAAACCGUUUUUAUUAUAUUUAAUGUUUUGUGUAUUUAAUAUUGAUUGUUUCCUAUUCUUUUGUACGGAUUGGUCAUUAAAUCAAUAUAUAUUUAUGAUUACUUCGUUACCAGCAGAAUAUAGACAACUAAAUAGUGCAAAGAUGAAGUUGUUCUCUUGUCUUGUUAAUAUUGAAGCAUCUGGAGGUGAAGUCCUUUGUUAUUAUUAAGUGCAAAGCUGUAGCAGUACUUGGAGGAAAGAAAGGCUAUUUUUCAAGAGGAAACAGAAGCAGUGUGUUGCUGUUACUAAAGGAAAGAUACGAUAGAUUGAUGAACAGUGAGAAAGAAAGUCAGUAGUCUCUACUGAAGCAACCAAUGUCUGCAGUUUUAAUGUUUUUCAUGGACUUAAUUUUUCAUCUUCAACUAGCAACAUUAUGAAGUUAAUUCUGGACCAAUGAACAAGAGCAACUGAAAAUAUAUUUGGACCACAUUGAAUCAACAGACAACCUGUAAUGUUGUGAUCAGGCGAUGGCACUACAUUUAUUUCAACUUUAUAAAACAAGUCUACAGGAUUGGCUAAAUUACGAAAUAUUUGCCGCGCAGCAUAGCAGAAACCUAAUGUAGUGCUUCUGCUCAGCAUUUCAUACGUCAUCAGAGCUUCAUGCAGCAGCUUUCGCAAAUCUGUGCACACUGUUCGUUACCAAGCCACCAUGCCAGCCAUGAUCGCGUAAUUACAGGAAGUUUUGUUGGUAUAUUUUACGAUGAUAUUCAAUUUACCGAAUUAAUUUUCCAUGAACAUCAUAAAAACUCGAGGUACCAUGAGUUACUGAGCAUUCGUCAGAUCAAUCCUUUUUCACUCUAGCAUAUAGCAGUACCUGAAGGAUGCCUAUAGGUGCCUUUUUUCGUUUGGAAACAAAUGCAGUGUGUUCCUGUUGCUAAAGGAAGGAUGUGCCACAAAAAAUUGAUUGGCUAUAAAUAUGGGUGGAUGAAUGCUCAUUUUGAUGCUACUGAAAAAACAGAUUGUCUGCUAGUGUUCUUUUCAUCUUGGAGGAAUUUAAGUUAAUUAAGAUUGCCGAACAAAUGAGAUGGAGUUACAAUUAAUUAAUUAGUGCUACUGAAAGCACCAGUGCUUUUGAUGUCUUCACAUAAUGCAGUUAAUUUUGGGCCUGUGAGAGAGAAGCAACUGGAAAUUGGAAACCAUUGAAACAACAGAUUUGUCUGCCGUGGUAGCCCUCGUGGAUUUGGUUGCAGUUGAUUAAGAUUGCCCAACAAACGAGAGAAUUACAAUUCAGUUUGGUCCCACUGAAACAACUAAUGUCUACUGGGGUGUGGUCUUUCAUGGACUAUAUUCUUGAUUUGCUGAUUUUGUCUUCGCCUUGCAACAUUUUUCAACUGACUAGUGAGAACAACUGGAGAUUUAUUGGAGUUCCACUAAAACAACAAAUUUUCUGCUAUGAUAUUCCUUCUGGAUUUGGUUUGCUUUUCACACAUGCAAACUUUGGAAUGUUA